Molecule: long non-coding RNA, 21778 nt
Filed under: Coffea arabica (coffee)
Lineage: Eukaryota; Viridiplantae; Streptophyta; Magnoliopsida; Gentianales; Rubiaceae
Description: long non-coding RNA (CARA_LNC002321)
Source: RNAcentral
ACAAAUUAACAUCCAUAGCAAGAAUAAACCAAGUAUCAACAACCAAAUCACAUAUAUUUUCAGCUGAUAAAUUUGUCCUUUUUUGGCGGGUUUUAGUCGAUUUUCGGGCUCAAGAUGGAUUGCAGAAAAGCAGCGAUUCUUGUAUUGGUUUUUGUCAUCUUUGUUGCCAUUAUGGGCCAAGUUCAUGUGGAGGCAGCGAGGUUGCUGACGGAGGAAGACUUCGCCGGUGCCGAUCACUUGGAUAGAUUUCCAUCGGUAUAUGCAAAAGCAAGAGACACGAUGUCAUAUUGGUUUGAAAGGUUGGCAUCUGGACCUAGCCCUAAAGGACCUGGUCAUUAAGCUUAAAAGUAUGGCCAGCAAGUAUUUAGGCAGCAGUUCGGCCAUGCAAGGACAAUGAGCAACCAACAGUAGUAUAUUUUGGUAGUAUUUACCAUUUAGAGAAGGUCUAAGACUCAGUUUUCUUUUUCGUUAUUUCAUUCUUUCUUUCUUUGAUGUCUUGUUACACUAUGAAAUCUUAAUGCAUAGAUGUAUAUUUCUGACUUUUUGCCCAUGAAGUGGCAGCUAUAAUGAUAGUUUUUUCUUUUCUCAAUGCUUUCUUUCAUUUCUUUUGCCCUUGAUCAAUGGUUCAAGCUUUCGACAAUAGCAAGUCCAUGGAUAACUCAGGUGUUCCAGUUCAUCAUACGUAAAAAACAUGAAAAAAAUUUUCUGCACAUUUCAUGAGGCCUUCCUUAGUUUGCAGACACUUCGAUCAACAAAUUAGAAAAUUUUCUGAUGGAUCAUGAGUUGGCUGCAUGAGACAGUGUAGUGCAGCUUUUAUAGAAGCAUUCCUCACAAUGCAUGGAUUAUCAUUUCCUACAACAUACUAUCGAGGAUGAAAACUUCCAUCUACUCCAUAAAGUUGUAUUCUUUUAAGGGUUCUCUGUCUAUAAUAAGUACCUUUAGGACGCUGGUGAAAUGGGAUGAAAUAUUUAUUAUGAUGGCUCUAAUCAAUUCUAUCAAAUUUUUUAUGUGGAUAUCUAUUUUUUCUGUCUAUUCUUAUCUUAUUAAAUGUCCAAACCUUUAUUUAUUUUGUUUAGGUUUAAAUCUCCUACCUAUUAUUGUUACGACAUGUUAUAGUAGCUUGAUUAUUGUUGUUAAGAAACAAUGACAUUUCAUAUUUUUGUCUCCAUUUAUUAUUAUUAUUAUUAUUUUUUGUUGUGAUCAACAAAAAGAGAAAGGCAAAAGGAGAAAAAGGCAAUUUAUCGGCCUUGGCAGACUUUUAUUUCAGAAGAUGUAAAAAACUUAUAUAUAUAUAUAUAUAUAGAGAGAGAGAGAGAGAGAGAGAGAGAGAGAGAGAGAGCAAACAAAAGCCAUAAAAUGAUAGUAGCUGGUUGCAUUGAAGUCAAACUUGAAGUUUGUUUUCUUUCCAUUUUUUCUUCUUGUUCCCUUUUGGGGAGUAUAAUAGUCUUGCGUGGAAAACGAUAUACAAAACUGUUCUAUUUUUUUUCUGUUUUUUUGUCUAACUUUGGGAAUGUACAUCUCACUAAAUCAUAGAGCAAUGUGACGUUUUCUUUCUUUUUUUCUUCUUUUGAAUAGUCAAAACAUGGGAUAGAAAAAAUGAUGCGAAGCUGGUAGAAGGAAUGGUUUCACGAGCUUUUUCGAAAAAUAACAAAGGAGCAAUUCACGAAAACAAAAUUACAACAAAAGACAGAAAACGAAAAAAGAAAAAAAGAAAAACAAAGUACUUCUCCGAUGCCAAUGCUGGCCCCGGUCCUCCACUGAAGGGAAGUCCGUCGCUGAUCUUCAAGCCGGCGCCGAUCUUCGGACUUCCUCUGAAGUCGUGGCCGUGCAGCUUCCGUUUGCUCUCUCUUUUGCCUGCUCCAUUUUGUCCAAAAACUUCCCCGCAACUUGUUCUACAUCAAAAAACUGUUAGUAGGAUAACCUUGAGAAGAUAUACACAUCUAAAAAUAUAGGGAAAAAUGUAUUUUUCAUCCCCAAAACUUGGGUGAGGGACCAAUUUUGUCCUCAAAGUUUCAGCAAUAGCACAUUUAAUCCUCAAUCAUUGUCAAUUUUGGUCAAUUUAGGAUAAUUGACAGAAAACUCUUAAAAUUGGACGGAAAGUAAUCACAUGAGACAUGUGCUCCUUUAGUGUAAUUUAUUGCAGCCAACAAAAAAGAAAAAAUUAUCUUCUUUUUCAUUCUUUUGUCCUUUUUUAACAAUGAAGAACUUUUACAAUAGUCUCGCUGUCAUCAAUUGGACAAUUGGCUAGAAGAUUGGUGAAAGCGGAUCCCUGAAGAACCCCAUUGAAGAAAAAUAUUCUUACAAAUGAAGGAACUAAAUAAUUGGUCACCCCCAAACAAGGAUCUCAUUGUAAUCAUGUUGAAUACUACUAUAUGUAAAAUAGGGAUAAGCUCAUUGUUGACUUUGGAUUUACUUUUUAUUUAUGGUCCCAACUCAAUAGGACCAUUUGGAAGAUUAUAAAUGAUGGUGUCAAUUUGCUCCAUUGGUUUUCAUAAUCCUGUAUCUUGUCUUCUUUUAUUUUAUUCUAUAGCUCAUUAAGAAUAUAUAUAAGUGUAACUAUUAUCAGAAUUGAGAUUGCAAUUGUACAAAAUUGGGAACAAAUUAUGUGACCAGAAUCAUAUGUCAAAAUUGAGAUUUCAGCAAGUUUUCAUACACAAAAUAACUUCCUUACAAACAGAAAAUGUCCAUUUUCGUACAUAAUUGAUCAAUCAACAGCUAGUUUUCAUGCUUCUCUGCUGCUACUUUAGUCUACAUUUAUCCUAAAUCCUACCUCUUACAAACAAAGGAUUAUCCAACUAGCAUUCUAGCAAACACAUUUGUUUCCACAAAAUACAAUCUCAGUCUGGCAAAUUUAGCAAGAUUUCAUACUAGACUUAGCAACAGCUUGCCCCAUUUUCCAUUUGCUUUGCCUGUUCUCCUCCAACUCAAAACCAACAACAUCAUUAAGACCACAAUAAUGUUGAUGAGAAGUUUCUCCCUCUUUUGAAUCUUUUCAACUAACUUAUGCACCAUUUUUGGUAAACCAAGUAUAAGUACCCUUCCUCUUGGACCAAUUCCCUCAUCAACCCCAUCAAAAUACUUGCACCUGCCGAGCCUCUAAUAAAACACGAUUCAAAAAUUUGUUAAAAUUAAAGUUUUACUGGUGUGUCAAUAGUACAAUGAGUUUUUACCGGCCACAAAGAACAACAAAGAAAUCUUCUUUCGAAUUGUCAUCGUGUUAACAAGUUGUUAGUUUUGUCCUCAAUCAACAAUUGCAGACAGAUGUUGAUGAAAUCGAAGAAGCAGAACUUCUAAUUCUUAUUUUAGCACUCUAGGUUCUCCAUGGCUUUCGCUAUUACAAGUAGAAUAAUAGGUAUUGAGCAUGAUGAAACUUUGCCUGCAAAACUUAGGGCUAGAAAAAACAGAGCAUAUACUCAAAAAAGAAGGAGAAACGAAUGAAAAAAGAAGACAGUUUUCCCCAUUUUGUUGGCUGCAAUAAAUUAAACUAACGGAGUAUGCUUCUCACGUGACUACUUUCUAUCCAAUUUCAAAAGUUUUCCGCCAAUUGUCCUAAAUUGACCAAAAUUGAUAAUGUUUGAGGAUUAAAUAUGUUCUUGUUGAAACUUUGAGGAGGAAAUUGGUCGCUCACCCAAACAUUAGGAAUAAAAAGUGUAUUUUUCCCAAAAUAUAUUUAUGAAGUUUAUCGCCUUUUUUUUUAUUAGUAGGGAAGAGGCAAGAUUUAAGAAGCGAAAAGAGAGAAAUUACAUAUUAAUCAAUAGGAGAUAGACAAGCAUUAUUCGAACUUGUCCAUAUUUAUUUUUCAUCUUCACUAGUAAUUAAGGAGUCUAAUUCAGGUUCUUGUUAUAGACACAUAAGGUCAAAAAUAGACAGAACUAAGGGGCGGGAAAGUCAAGGCUGCCCAAGUUUUUCAAAAGACUAGUUGGAAAUGGGCCUUGUGCUUCGCCUAAGGUUGCCCAGGCAAAGAUGUUGACUGGCGGUGCACAUAUGUGGGAAAUAAAAAAUUUCAAAACAGGAGAAAAAACGGAAAUUUAAGGAAACAAUCAGCAAUACAGAAAGAAGAGAAGUAACCAUUUACAUAGAUGAAUGUAUUCUGCUAUCAAUUUGAUUUCAUUAGUAAGGAGAGUAUUCUAAAUAAAUAUGGGUCUGUCUAACAGGUCGCUCAUAGAGCAUUCAUUAAGAUAUAUUUCAGAUGUCAUAUUUUUGAAAAUAUAAAAUUAAUUAGAAAAAAUAAAUAUACAAGAAAGGAUAGGUAAGAUUAAAUAGGAAAAAUAUAGAAAUGCAAAUAAGGAUAAUUGUUAGUAUGUACAUAUACAUGAUAAGUUAGAUGAAUGUUAAAUGUGUUAAUGAAUGGCCACGGGGCACCCGUUGGAAAAAUCUAACAAAUAUGACUAUUGAUCUGGCAACCAUUGGUGUACUAAGUGUAGGAAUCACAAUGGGAACCAAAGCUGAAACAGUAGGUAGAUAUAAGGUAUAUCUUAUUAAGUAAGGAAAAAGAACUCUGAUUUGUUUAAUAAACAGAAAAAUUUUUGAUGCACUUGAAUUAAGCAGAGUUCAUAAAAGAACAUAUUCUAUUAGCUAGUAAAAAUCGUGUCUGAUGUCAAUAAUGAGGGUAAAAAUUUUAGUUAAGUUUCAUAAAGAUAAGAUAAUAGAAGACGUUAAAAUCAUUACGAAACGGUAAGAAAAUAAGGCAACCAAACUCUCAUAACAUGAAUUGAAAUAAGUAAAAAGACUAAUAAUAUCAGUAACUAACAGUUGCAGGGUAAGUUUUCAAUAAAACUAUUCAUGUAAGUAAUAUCAAUGGUCUAAUUGUAUUCACAAGUGUGUUAAUGAAUAAGGUAAUUAAAGUUGUAAUAUAUGAACAUCAUUUCUUGGCUAAACAUCUACAUGCAACCAAUAACAAGAAGCCAAUUUUCCUAAGUCCAGCAGUCAAGAACAAAAUUUCAAACUACCGUUUGUAAUAGUGGAAUGCAAAAAGACAUAAAAACCACACCAGUUUAUCCAAUCCAUUUCAUUGCUAACAAGGACAUAGAGGGAACAGAGGGGCCUCAUUGUAAAACAACACUUGAAAAUCAGGACAUUAUGAUAAAAACAAAGAAAUAAGCAAACCGUUCUCAGCCCAAUAGUCCAAAAAACGCCUUCCAAAUUUACCAAAACACUCACCUAGUUAUGGUCACCACAAGGGGCCAUGGAUUACUAUUCACAAACUCAACUUCCCAUUUUUUGUUAGGGAUUAGUUUGUAAGUAAUCGCAAAAGAUUUCAUAGCGUGAGCGAUCAAAAAAUAGGGACAGAGAUAUAUUUAAACUGUGGAUAUGUUUGUAAGUAAUACUAUGUUUACAUUAGAGUAUUAGAUAUAUUAGAUCAACUUUUUAGUCUUUUUGAGGUUAAAGACACAAAAGCAAUACGUGCAUUAUGGAUAAAAAAUUGUGUAUGUUCAUGAUUGAAGAUCAAAUUUACCAAUUAUCUAAUUCUCUAACCAUAACUGUUACAACUUCUUUUAGUAGUUUGAUAAUUUUUGUUAAGGAAUUAUAACAGUUCAUGAUUUUAUGGCCAUUUAGUUUUCGAAUGGGGGCUGCCUGAUAGACAACUAAAGGAAAAACAGAAAAAGACUGCAAAACCACAAUGAAAAUGACACUCUUCUUGUUUAUUAUGUUGUUUAUUUUGUUAACGAAAGGAAGAGAAAAUUUUGCUGUAUCAAGAGAAAAAAUAAGGGAAGAAGAGACAACUUAGCAGCCAUGAAAUCUUGAAAAAAAAGAAGAAAAACUUAGCAGCCCUGGAGCUGACUUUUAUCUCCAAAUCCAUUAUUAAUGUGAAAUGGAAACCAAGAGAAUCCAAAUGACUAAAUGUUCAAAGAAAAAUAUAACUCAAAAGAAAGGCCAUGACAUAAUAAAAAAAAAGAAAAGGGCAAAACCCCAAAAUAUGCGAAAAUAAUGGCAUGGCCCAUGGCAAAUCCAAAAGCAGAAAGUCGAAGUGAGCCCAAUUAUGCAUUCCUACAGCCGGUUCUUGCGCCCAACGAUCAGAGUUGCGCUAAUAAAAGUCAAUCACGAAUAAGACCACUUCAAUAUUACAUCUACUUCGUCAACACGUAACACAGUUUGGAGAAUAUUCAACCCUUUACGUUCAAAGUUUCAAACAUGACUCCAAACCGCUCUUACUCUCCCUGCUAUAAAUACGCCAACAAUCUCCCCACUUCUGCAUCCAUUGCAAGCAUAACCAAGCAUCAACAACCAAAUCACCUAUAUUUUGAGCUGGUAAAUUUGUUCUUUUUUCGCGGGUUUUAGUCGAUUUUCGGGUUCAAGAUGGAUUGCAGAAAAGCAGCAAUUCUUGUAUUGGUUUUUGUCAUUUUUGUUGCCAUCAUGGACCAAGUUCAUGUGGAGGCAGCGAGGUUGUUGACAGAGGAAGAGUUCGCAGGUGCCAAUCACUUGGAUAAAUUUCCUUCGGUCUAUGCAAAAGCAAGAGACACGAUGUCGCAUUGGCUUGAAAGGUUGGCUUCUGGACCUAGCCCUAGAGGACCUGGUCAUUAAGCUUAAAAGUAUGGCCAGCAAGUAUUUAGAGAGCGGUUCAGCCAUGCAAGGACAAUGAGCAACCAACACUAGUAUAUUUUGGUAGUAUUUACCAUAUAGAGAGGGUCCAAGACUCUUUUUUUUUUUUUUUGGUUAUUUCAUUCUUUCUUUCUUUGAUGUCUUGUUACACUAUGAAAUCUUAAUGCAUAGAUGUAUAUUUCUGACUUUUGCCCUUGAAGUGGCAGUUAUAAUGAUAGUUUUUUUUUUCUCAAUGCUUUCUUUCAUUUCUUUUGCCCUUGAUCAAUGGUUCAAGCUUUCUACAAUAGCAAGUCCAUGGAUAACUCAGGUGUUCCAGUUCAUCAUACGCAAAAAACUUGAAAAAAUUUUUUUACACAUUUCAUGAGGCCUUCCUUAGUUUGCAGACACUUCGAUCAACAAAUUAGAAAAUUUUCUGAUGAUGGACCAUGAGUUGGCUGCAUGAGACAGUGUAGUGCAGCUUUUAUAGAGGUAUUCCUCACAAAGCAUGGAUUAUCAUUUUCUAGAAGAUACUAUCACGGAUUAUCAUAUCCUACAACAUACUAUAGUGUUGAAAACUUCCGUCUACUCCAUAAAGUUGUAUUCUUUUAAGGGUUCUCUGCCUAUAAUAAGUACCUUUAAGCCACUGGUGAAGUGGGCUGAAAUAUUUAUUAUGAUGGCCCUAAGAUCAAUUCUAUCAAAUUUUUUAUGUGGAUAUCUAUUUUUUUCUAUCUAUUUUUAUCUUAUUAAAUGUCCAAACUUUUAUUUAUUUUGUUUAGGAUUAAGUCUCCUACCUAUUAUUGUUACGACAUGUUAUAGUAGUUUGAUUAUUGUUGUUAAGGAAACAAUCACAUUUCAUAUUUUUGUCUCCAUUUAUUAUUAUUAUUUUUUGUUAUAAUCAACAAAAAGAGAAAGGCAAAAGGAGAAAAAGAUAGUUUAUCGGCCCUGGCUGACUUUUAUUUCAGAAGAGAUAAAAAACUUAUAUAUAUAUAUAUAUAUAUAUAUAUAUAUAGAGAGAGAGAGAGAGAGAGAGAGAGCGCAAACAAGAGAAAAUUCCAAAUUUACGAUGAAUUUUUAAAAAUUUUUGCAAAGGGGCAGUUUGAGGAUGCAAUUCGGUCCAAGGGGUCUUCGCAUUCAGCAGAUGUGAGCUCCAAAGUCAUUUCGCAUUUUUACGCCCAGAAAGCCAAAAAAAAUAAAAAAAAAAAGUUAACAUUGACCUCGCAUUUCAGAAAUGCGAGGUUAGUGACUUGUAAAAAAAAAUUUUGCUUAGUUGGAGCUCUAAAAAAAUAUUUUUUUUUAUGUUACAGCUAUCAUGAUAUGAAAAAUAUUUGUUCCGUUAGAGAAAAUAAAUAUUUUUUAAAUAUUUAUUGUAACUGCGAUCAUUUUGCUCUUUUUUACCACUUCGCAUAUUGUCAUUUAUUAAAUGCGAGCUCCUAAAAAAGUUAAAGUAAAAUAAUAUUUGUUUUCUCCUAACGAGCUUCUACAAAAUUAAAUUUAAAAAAGAUUUGUUUUCUUAGAGUACUAAACGCGAGCUCUUAGAGAAUUAAAUUUCGCACAAUAUUUGUUUUGUAGAUCUCUCAUUUACUAAAAGCAAUCUUUAGUAAAAUCUUAUUUUUUAAAAAAAUAAUUGUUUAGGCAUUCAUGAGUGGGAGGAGAAAAUAUUUUGGAUCUCGCAUUCGAUAAAUGCGAAUUCAUAGAAAACUACAUUAAAAAAUUGCUUAUUUUUUUAAUUUAAGAGCUCAUAAUCAUUUUUGUUUUCGAAUUGACAUUUAUCAUAGAGGAAUAAAUCCUUUUUCUUUUUAAUUAUAGAUUUGUGAAAAAAAUCUAUAAUUUGAACAUAAAAAGUUGUACGACAACACUACAAAAUUUAAUUAUUCAAAAUCAGAAUAUAGUCCUUGCAGAUAAAAUAAUCAAUCAAGACUAAGCCCAAAACCAAAUUAGCCUCGAUUUUCGUGCUAAUCGCUACUUAGCAAGGAAAGUGAAGAAAAUGCAACUCAGCAAUGUAAGUGGAGAAAACGCGACUUAGCAAAACGCGACUUCAAGUCGCAUUUUGUGAAGUCACGUAUUGUGUCUAUUGUACGAAGCUUUAAAACGUGAAUUCCCUUCUCAGUUUUCUUCUUCAUCUUCUUCUUCCAGCCGCAUUUUUUAAUGUAGUUUUCUAUGAAUUUGCAUUUAUCAAAUGCGAUAUUCAAAAUAUUUGUGAGGACUCGAAAUUUCUAUUAUUUUAAAAUCCCUAAUUUUGGCUCAAUUAAUUAUUUAUUUGGAUUUUUGCCACGAAUAAUAUUUUCUAGCCUAUUAGAUCUAAGUACAUGAUUUUAUAGUUCGUUAUAUUUCUAAAGUGUCUCAUUUUAAAAAAAUAAAAUAAAAUAAAAAUAUAGAUGAAUAAACAAAUAUUUUCAUAAAAACUUAAUUAGUGAAAAAGUGGAAACGUAUUUCAACUUUAGCCAAUUGGGAGUGCAAUAAGCUAAAAAUUUAAGACAUAUACAAUGGUCCUAAAAUAGACAAUUUUAGGUUUAAACAUACAAGUAAUAACUAGUGGUACAAUCGUUAUAAGAAUUUUUCAAAGGUUUCAAUUUUAUUGUGCCUAAAUUAGAAAUACGUGUUUUCACGUGCGCGCUUAAUUGGGAGACUUUGGACCAUUAUUUUGAGACAACUAGGAAUGAAUAAUAUUUAUACAAAUGUAAGUGCCCUAGAGGUUUAGUGCACUAGUGCAACAAACGUAAGAGAAAUCGAACACAAAACGCGAGUAUAGGGUACUAGUUAUAAUUGAUUUGACGUAUUAAAAGAUUUGACGUCAAGCGUCUCUUAUACGCAAAGGCUUCGGAACUGCAAUUCAUUUCCUUUCCUCUGCUGCAAUGGACGGCUAGACUGUAGCAAAGGAACAACCGAAGCUUCACCAUUUCUUCUCUUCCAAAACUCAACCAAAUUCCUACCAAAACUUCCAUAGAUUCUCACCAAACUUCACAUUCAUUUAGCUUUUCACUUGGACAACAACAUAGGCUGAAAAAGGGAGGAGCUUUCACGGUUUCUUCAAGCUUCAAAGGACCGAAAAAUCUGUCCAAACCAGCCAUCAAAGUAGGUAGCAAGCUAACACCUUCAACUUGUCUUAUGGUAGCUGAUUUACGCAUUUGAGUUGGAAUCUUUACUUUAAUAGCUUGUAUUGUUGGAAAUGUGGGCUCUAUGAACUCCCACUUUGGGUUGAUGGCUGUGAUGAUGUUUGAUGAUGGUUUAUUUGCUGAAUUAGAGCUUAAGGAAGUAGAUUAAAGGUGCUUUGUUACCAGAAACGUUAUUGAACUCUUGAAACAAAAAGUUCCCAUUUUACCCCUGCUCUGUUCGGUCACUUAAAUGCAGAAAUUUGAGGAUUUAAUGGCUUGAUUAUGUUGUAUAUAUGUUGUAGUAGUUGUGUACAAAAUUUCAUUGAAAAAUAUUGAGUUUUGAUGGGUCAAACGAAUUUAUUUCCAAAGCUAGUAAUCUGGGAAAACGGUUGCCGUCGUAACCAGACCAGUGUUCGUGUUUCGUCCAUAACUCCGUACUCCGACGUCGAAAUCAAGUGCCGUUAGCGGCAUUUGAAACUAGACGUUCCCAUGUUUCCAACGGUGUAUAGUGGACAUUCUGGUUUCAUGUGUGUGAGCCAUACCAUUCAUCUGAAGUCGGCUGUCCUGUUUCUCCGUUCUGCCGAAAUGAUUUGAUGAUGCUGCAACUUGAGGCUUGAUUUUGAACCAGUUGCAUGCUGAAACUUGAAACGAUUUCUUCUGUAAAGUUGUAACCCUGUGAAUUUAUUUUCUAACACUAUCAACCAUUUCCAAUUCCGAGUUAAAUUGAGAGAGUUAUGAUCAAAAUACGGCGACUGCCUCAUUUUUGAAAACCUUAGCUUUGGACAGAUUGCCUUAAGGAUUUUCCAAACUUUGGUUGAUUGAUUAACCACCUUUCCGAGGGUAUUUUUCCAUGAAAUUUGAUAGAGAGUUACCCUUCAUAUAGGAGUAGUAUACUGCAAAAUUUGGUGUCAAUCCAAGUCCGUUUCGACACUUAACAAAAGGUCCAAAGUCGGAACCAAAUCUGGAAAUUUUGUAACAGUCUUGAAUUUUUCCCAACUUUGAGCUACCAUAUCUUGGUGCUCGAAACUCCGAUUCUCGAUCCGUUUGUUCUGUCCUAAACCUUACUUGCACCUCUAAUUGAUCUAUAAAUUUCAAGGGCUGGUUUGCAACAAGUGAAUUCUGCCGAAUUUUCAAAGUUAGCGAAAAACCAACCCCGGCUCAAUCCUGAGUGAUUUGGAACAGCAACUUUAGGCUCAUUUUUGAGCACUUUCCACUUCGAUUCAUGGAAAAGUGUCUUCUAGGAACUUGCAGUACUUUCUAAGAGGUUUUCAACGGUAUAAAGUUUUCCAAUUCUCGACUUAUGCCGAGUGAGUUACGAUUUUUCAAAGAUUCAUAACAAAACUGAAAAUUUUCCAACUUUCAAGGAAAUAGAGUUUUUCAAGAAUUCUUUAUUCUUUUGAUAUUAUCUAAACGUUUUAUCCCCGAUUUCCUAGAUAAAGACUUAAAUAUUGUUGAAUGUUAUCAAACCUCUCUUGAACCUCGAUUUACGAAUAAUUGAGGUUCAUUUUCACGGAGUUUCCUAGAGUAAUACUAGUGAACGAAUUAUUCCUCGAUAUUUGGGAUAUGGGUGAUAAUUCACUAUUAUUUGCUCAGGCACGCACGAGGACCUCCAAGAGGACCCUACUGUGGAAGUUUGAACUCUUCCUCCAAUUUACUUGCUUGCAUAACUUGGUGAGUGUCAAGUGUAUGCCUACUUGAACUCUAAAGUCUUGAUUCAUGCUUGACUUACCUGAUUACAUGCUUAGUCUAUUUGAUCUUGAAAAAUGGAGUCGAGUGUGUACUUAAUCGCACUCGUUCUCAUUUGGCACAAAUGACUCAUGUCUAACAUGAUUUGCCUGGUUUACAUGACUUAAAAUGCCGGCUUAAACAUGUCAAAUGCUUUAAUACAUGAAAUGGUAUGCUAUGAUUGCAUACGUCGAUGGAGUGAAUCUCCUCGACAUUUACAUGAUACAUGGGGGACGUCCAAACUCAUAGGCCGACCUUGGAACUCGAGCCGGCAUGGGUUUGGUCGGGAACCUCGGUGAACCAUGAGAUUCACAUGAUAAGCUUGAUCUAUUGAGAGAUCUCGCUUGGCAUACUCGUAAAGUAUCGCCUUAUAAAUGUCGUGCGGGCCCGAAGUGGUAUAUGGUGGACGGAUGAGAAGUAAGUGGUGAACUACGGAUAUGAAAAUAUCAACCCGGGUGACGGAGAGUCAUCACGGGAAGAUAUACAAAUGACAUCGGCAAAUGUGGAACUUAGCUCCUGAGAGCUUCUAUAUCCUUGAAUUGUUUCUGGUUACAUUUUGUCGGCAUUAUUAAUUACUUGCAAGCUAUUACCUGAAUUGUUAUUUGGGCUUGUUAUCUGAACGAUGUGUCUGCAUGUGUGUUCUUGGCCUCACGAGCGUUUUGCUCACCCUGUAGAUUUGUUUUCCUUAACAGGUUUGAACUCGGCGGUAAAAUGGAGAAGCCCUUUUGAUGUACUUUUGUUUAGGGCUUGUUAUUACUUUUGGUUAUGCCUUUGGUUUUGGAAUUGUACUUUCGGUAUGGAAAUGUAACCUUUGGAUGAAAUGUAAUCUGUAUUCUGACGUGUGGUUGGAGAAUGGUUGACUAUUAUUAAGUUUGAACGUUUCCUCAUUUAUUGUAUCUAAGUUUCGGUUUGUAUUGUGUGGUCCGGCUAUAAGUUGAAUGGAAUUGCUUGAGUCCUGGCGAGAGCUAGGCAGGCGUCCCGCGGAUACCCUUUGGUUCGCCUUAGGGAGAAGUGGGGGCGUCACAAUAUUUACUCCUCACACUCCAUGAAUGCCUAAACAAUUAUUUUUUAAAAAAUAAGAUUUUACUAAAGAUUGCUUUUAGUAAAUGAGAGAUCUGCAAAACAAAUAUUGUGCGAAAUUUAAUUCUCUAGGAGCUCGCGUUUAGUACUCUAAGAAAACAAAUCUUUUUUAAAUUUAAUUUUGUAGAAGUUCGCUAGAAGAAAGCAAAUAUUAUUUUACUUUAACUUUUUUAAGAGCUCGCUUUUAUUAAAUUAAAUGACAAUAUACAAAGUGGUCAAAAAGAGCAAAAUAAUUGUAGUUACAAUAAAUAGUUAAAAAAUAUUUAUUUCCUCUGACGGAACAAAUAUUUUUCAUAUCAUGAUAGCUGUAACAUAAAAAAAAUUUUAGAGCUCCAACUAAGCAAAUUUUUUUUUUUACAAGUCACUAACCUCGCAUUUUCGAAAUGUGAGGUCAUGGACCUCGCAUUUUCGAAAUGCGAGGUCAAUGUUAACUCUUUUUUUUUUUGGCUUUCUGGGUGGAAGGAAUUGCAUUCUCAAACUGCCCCCUUUGCAGAAAUUUUUUAAAAUUCAUCAUAAAUUUGGAAUUUUUACAAGUCAUAAUUUUUUUUUUACAAUUCAUCAUAAUUUUUUUUUACAAGUCACUAACCUCGCAUUUCCGAAAUGUGAGGUCAUGGACCUCGCAUUUUCCAAAUGCGAGGUCAAUGUUAACUCUUUUUUGUUUGUUUUUGGCUUUUCUGGGUGGACAGAAUUGCAUUCUCAAAUUGCCCCCUUUGUAGAAAUUUUUUAAAAUUCAUCAUAAAUUUGGUAUUUUCUCCGCAGACAAAAGCCAUAAAAUGAUAGUAGCUGGUUGCAUUGAAGUCAACCUUGAAGUUUAUUUUCUUUCCAUUUUUUCUUCUUGUUCCCUUUUUGGGAGUAUAAUAGUCUUGCGUGGAAAAUGAUACACAAGACUGUUCUUUCUUUUUUUUUCUUCUUUUAAAUAGUCAAAACAUGGGAUAGAAAAAAUGAUGCGGAAGCUGGUAGAAGGAAUGGUUUCACGAGCUUUUUCCAAAAAUAACAAAGGAGCGAUUCAAGAAAACAAAAUUUCAACAAAAAACAGAAAACGAUAAAAAAGAAAAGAAAAACAAAAUGCUACACUGAUGAAGUCCGAUGCCAACGUUGGCGUCGGUCCUCCUCUGAAGGGAAGUCCGGCGCUGAUAUUCGGACUUCCUCUGAAGUCGUGGCCGUGCAACUUCCGUUUGCUCUCUCUUUUGCCUGCUACAUUUUGUCUAAAACCUUCCCAUCAACUUGUUCUAUAUCAAAAAACAGUAGUGGGAUAACCUUGAGAAGAUAUGCACACCUAAAAAUAUAUUUAUGAAGUUUAUCACCUUUGUUUAGUAGGGAAAUGGUAAGAUUUAAAAAGGGUAAAGAGAGAAAUUAAAUAUUAAUCAAUAGGAGUUAGGCAAGCAUUAUUCGAACUUGUCGAUAUUUAUUUUUCGUCUUCACUAGGAAUUAAGUAGUCUAAUUCAGGUUCUUCUUAUAGACACAGAUGGUCAAAAAUAGACAGAACUAAGGGGCGAGAGAGUCAUGGCUGCCCAAGUUUUUCAAAAGACUAGUUGGAGAUGGGCCUCGUGCUUCGCCUGAGGUUGCCCACGCAAAGAUGUCGACUGGCUAUCUAUGUUUUCAGACUCGGACCGGAUAUCGACUCGGUUAAUAUUAGAGAUCAGGGGUCAAUGGAUUAUAUUAGCUUUAAUCGAAGGUUGAACCGGAUGAUAUCAUAAAUAGAAAUAUUUAAAAAUUAAAAUAUUAUAUGCAAAAUACCUAAGAGCAUAUUAAUAUUAAUAAAGGUAUAUUCAUAUAUAUUUGAUGUUUCAAAUGUAUUUAACAAGAAAAUAUAAAGAAAUUAGAAUGAUCAAGUAGCAAUUUAUAUUAUUCAAUGAACAUUAACAAGUUUAAAAAUAAAAUUAUGGAUUUGAUUGAAAAAUAGUACCAAACUUUAGGACAAUAUUUAUAAAGUAUGAAAUAUUUGAGGCAUAUUAAUAAUUUUGAAUAACUUAGGUGUCAAAACAUAAUAUUGAAAAUACGUUGAUCCCAAGUCAUUCAAAACAUAAUUUGAAAGGUGACGCUUAUCAAAGUAGUUGUAGGACCACGUUACUCCUACAAAGACCAACCAAAACAUAGGGGCCUAUUUGGAACUUGAGUUUUUAUUCAAGUUUGUCUUAUACUAGGUUUUUUUUAUCAACUUUAAUUACAGUAACCUAAAAAAACUUUUCAAGGUUUUUUAAAAGUUUUUUUUUUAUCUAUACACUUCAAAAUAUCCAAAACACAAAAACAAAAAAAAAUUCCUUCCCCUUUUCUUCUUCUUCCUCCCCCACCUCAAUCCACCACCACCUCUGUUGCCAGCCACCACCUCUGCCACCGGUUCUGGCGCCGAUCACCUCUUCCGGUGCCAAUUUUCUUUUUUUUUUUCUUUCUCCCUCUCCCCCUCUUCCUCCCCACCAUCCUCCUCCUUUGCCCGAUUUGAUCCUCCCCUUUUUUUUCUCCCUCUCCCUCUCCCCCACUCCUCCCGUUAAUACACAAAAAACUUUCUCUUUUCUUCUUCUUUCUCCCCUACCCCGAUCCACCACACCUUCAUUGCCGACCACCACCUCCGCCGCUGCUUCCGGCACCGAUCUUCCUUUCUUUUUCCUUUCUCCCUCUCCCUCUCCCCCUUUGACCGAUCUGUUGGUGCUCCCCUCUCUUUUCUUUUUUCUUUUUUUUUCUCUCCCUUCCCCUCUCCUUCCCUCCCUUUUCCCCCUCCCCUCCCCUGCCACCCUCCCCCUCUCCCGCGCGAUCGGCCGCGCGAUCGGAUCGCAGCCCGCAUCUAUGAUAUGAUCAAACGACCAGAUUGGGCAAAGGGGGAAGGGGACGGGGAGGAGAGGGAGAUGGAGAAGAGGGAGAGAGAAAAAGCAAAAAAAAAACCAAGAAAAGAAAAAACCAUGGCUGCAAGUUCUUUAGCAUCGGGAGAGAGAGGGAGAAGAGGGGAAAAAAAGUUUUUCAUCUUAAAAACUUUUUUCAAAAACUUCUACAGGGUUAAUUCCACUUUGCACCCUUUAACUUUGGCCUCAUUCCCACUUACGUCCUUAAACUUCAAAAUAGAAUACUCAACUCCUUAAAAGUACAAAAUUCAUCCCAUUUAAGUACAAUUCUUGACGGAAUGUAAAAAAUUAACAGAAUAAGUGGCAUAUCCCGUUAACUAAUUAUUAUAACCAAAAUAAUUCAAAUUUACAAGGGGCAUAAAUGUAAAUUCAGGAGGCCAAAAAAUAAAAAGAAAAAAAAAAGCCUCUCAAUCAUUGUUCCCGGAGCUCCGCCGCACCAAGUCCUUCUUCGCCUCCAAAACACGAUGGCCUAGGCUUGAAUUUCUCUAGCACUUUCAAGCCUCAAUGCAAGUCUUGCGAUGUUCACGUCCGCAACACCCUCUGGUCCCUUUUCACUCUCGAUGAUGAGUCUAAAGUCACCACCUCUGCCAAACCCUCUACCUCUUCGUCUUCUUUAAAUCCUCAACAUUGCAUCAUCACCAAAGAUACCCAUGAUGAUUUUGUGAAUAAACCUGUUUUUGAGUCCAAAGAAGAAAAAGAAGGGAAGCCUCAAAACGAAGAAUAUGUAUGCAAUUACAAUAGCAGCAGCAACAACAAUACAACAAAAACGAGUCUGAUGAAAUCACCCUUGUAGCACAUCAAUUUGGAGAUUGUGGAACAAGAAGAGGUGGUCGAUUUAGUCCCACAAAAUCGAUGAAAGAUUAUAUAGAUCUCGAUUCUCAACCAAAUAAGCCUUUUGAAGGAGGCAAAGUGAGAGAAAUUGCAGGAAUUGCCUGCAAUUUCUCGUCUACUAUCUCAGUGUUCAAUAAGAAAUGGCACAGUUGGAGGCGUAAGCAGAAGAUGAAGAAGCCAAGCAAUGGUGAGUUAAUGGCUUUAUUACCUGUGAUGAAGCCAAUUACUAGGCAGCACAGAGAGACUUAGUCCCAAAUUGUGGAUUUUGGGUUUGAACAACGUUUUUGUAAUACUGAGCAUUGGUUCUCUCUUGAUGCCGAGGGGAUUAGCUUUGAUGAUUCCAAGUACUUGUUCAACGAAACACGGGCUUCUCUCUGGAGGGUUGCAUUGAAGUUUUUUUUUUCAGUGUUGAAGAAAGGUGCAUACUUUUUUUUUUAACAGAAGAAAGCAGUGAAAUUUUUAUAAUCGAAGGAAACACAAAAUCGUAACACCAGUAGUGAAUAUAUGAACAAGAGUUACCACACUCUACUCAAGGAAGAAACUCUAGUCAAGAGUUAUGACAAAGUUAUUUACAACACAUUUUAUUUGUGGAGAUAAAAAGCUUUGAGCACAAAGUUGCACAAACAUUCACUUCAACUCUUGUGGGCCUCUUCUUCAGCUUUCUUUUCAGACUUCUCACGUUCAGCUUUCUCCGCCUUCAGCUUUUGCUUCUCCAACGUCUCCCGCUCCCAUUUCUGAAUGUAGAUGUUCUCCUUAGCACGUUCACUACAACAAAAAUGAUCUUUCCUGACAUGCCUAUAAGGACACUUGAUGGUUUAUGUCAUUAUAGCACUUCUAUCAUGACAUUUGUUAUCAACUCAAUAAUAUAUACUCUAUUUUUAUUUUAUUUUAUUUGAUAUAAAAAUAAUAAUGUGCUUUUAGACUACUUAUCAUGACACUUGAGAAAAUGUGAGAUUCACCCAAAUUAAAAAAAAAAAGAAAGACACUAAACUAAACGACAUGGCUUGUUUUGGCGGAAGAUUCAUUUGCCAUGAAAUAUUCAAAACUUUCAAAUUGCCGGCCAAAAGACUUUGUCAAAUUUUGCUUCAUCUCAUCUCUCUCGCAAGAAACACUCUCUCCUCAACAAAUUAUCCUCGGCAAAUUAUCUCUAGCCAAAACACUUGGAGUUUUUUCUACUGAAUCUCCCUGCAAACAAACUUUCCUUGCUUUCCCAUUGAAGGUAUGUAAUUGCAUGGUAAUUUUUUUUUUAUUUUUUGAGCAAUUAGAUAAUGUUUUUGCUAAAUGUCACCGUAAAGAAGCUGUCCAUUCUUCAAGCUUUCCCAUUACUGCUACCAUUUAUUUCGAGCCAAACAAACACAAUCCAAUUGCCAAUUGCAAAUUGCAGCAGAUGAGAGGAAAAAAUGCUUCUGUACCUGCACUCGAGUACAACCCCCUUACUUAUAUGUUCGUGUACAUGGCAGCCAAUCACUAUUUUGCAUAUGAGGUAAUGUUUAAGCUUUUUUCUGGACAUUAUUAGCUAUUCUUGAAGCUGUGUACUCUAUUGUGUUGAAUUAUGAGGGUUAAGUUUCAAAGUUUGCCCUAAAUUGAUUACAUUUGAGAUUAGUCCCAUCUGUUUGAGAUUGAAACGGAUAUAGUAAUAGUUUAUGAUUUGAGUGCACUUGUUGUUCAGCUUUGUUCCUCUCGAUUGUCUACUUGAUUCAUGUGACUAUUUUUGUUAUGCACUUACUGCCCAUAACCUGUUUGAUAAAAUGUGGCAACAUAGCAAAUGGACACUGUACUUGGUUGGCUUACUACUUAAUAUCCAGGUUAUCUUGUGAGAUUUUUGUUGACAUAUAUAUACACAGGUUUCCUUUACAUAUUACACAUGUUAUAGUCCAUUGAAAAUGAACAUAGUGCCGGCAAAUUGUUGACUAGCCAUGGCUUUUUAGGUUGUCAUUGAUGAUGCUUAAAUCUGUGAAUUUCUAUGCAGCUAGAGAAGUCCUACUCAACACAGGAACUUUGCCAUCUUCUAGGAACUGUAAUUGUGAAGAAGGCAUGGGUGCAAUCUAUAUUGGGUGGGUCCUACUAUCAUAGGUAUGGUAAAUACUAGAAAAUUUUUUAUUACUUUCUAUACGAAAGUCACAUGUGCACACAGUGUGUAAACAAAACACAGUAUGAUGUUGAAGUUAUUGAUGCUGACCCUGUGAAAGUGGAGGAAAUGGCAAAAAAAAAGGAAAUUUUUGAUGAAGAUGAUGUCGACAAGUUGGAAGACAGGCCUCUUGUUCUAACCAUCAUGGGACACGUGGACCAUGGGAAAGUAAGCAACAAAAUUUUUUCUUGUAGUUGGUUUCAAGAAGCAUUAUGUGUGUCGCCAGUUAAUGGAUCUUUUUUGAAGUCAUUAUGAUCUCAUCCCAUGAAAUAAUUUUACCUUUCUUUGUUAUUUGAUUGUUGCCUAUGAACAUUUUGUGUGCUUCCAGUUAAUUGAUCUUUAGGAGAGUCAUUCUAGAUUUAUUGUCCCAUAACAAUCUUUAGCUAAUAUAUUACUGGUUUUCUUUUGGGUUGGCAGACCACACUUUUGGAUUACAUCAGGAAAAACAAGGUAUGAAUCGAUUAUUUUUAUUGAUGUUCACGUUGAGGUACAUUUUUUGUAAUGCCAUUACGAUUUGAUGACUUUAGAAGAAGUACCUUAUUCUGUCUUAUGUUAUGAUACUUGAAUAGCAGGGAACUAAAUCUUAGACAACCUACUGUAUGUGGCAGCAUCUGAAGCAGGUGGAAUUACUCAAGGCACGGGGGCAUAUGAUAGGUUGCAAUUUAUUCAUUUAUUUUAUUAUUAAUUGCCCCUAUUACCUGAUUUGAUGUGGGUUUAUUGAUGGAUUCUACUCACUUUUAGUAUUUUUGCACUUAUUUCAGGGAGUAGAACGGAAAUAGGAUAACAGGUGAAAAUUGAGCAGAAAAGGGAUCCAGAGGGCAGAGCUUGUCUCAGGGGUCUUUUUGGCAAAAGGAGUAGUUGUGCCCAUUUUGGUAAAAUUGCGGAAGAGGGCAGCGGAUGGGGUGGUCUUCUAUUGCUGGAGAGCCGCUGCAAUAAAGGGGGGAAGAAGAGUUCAGCAUGGGACGUUCUGCUUUUUCUUUUCCUGUUAGACUUUUUGACCAAGGAACUCCUGCGCAUGGCAGGAGAGCUUAGCUCUAGACUUCUCCUUUGUAGUUUAUGGUAGUUUUUCAUUUUGGCUGCUGGACACGCAUGACAGGAGAAAGGAAUUGAAGCCCACUUUCUUUGACUUUUCCUUAUUGUACUUCUGGAGUGAAUUUGCUUUACGAAUACUAGGAACAAUUAGAAAGCUUCAAUUGUUACCCGCGCCUUUCAUUUGCUUUCCAAUUGUUCGACGAAUUGCGGCUCCUGAAAUGCAGUCAAUGGCCGCGACUCUGGCUGAAAUUCCCCGCGGGCUUAGUUCAUCCAAUAUGAGCUAACCCCCUCAUUCUAGUCAAGAAACGACGGAUGCUUUGAUUCGCCUAAAAAUUGUGAGAUCGAUUUAAUUUAAUCUUUCUCUUUUAUUUAUUGGUAUUCGUGUAUUCCCUGAGUACUAUGCUUAUGGUUACCUAAUUAGUUGAUUGUCGUGGAUCCGGAUAAUUAAUUGAUGUGGUAAUCUAUUGUCAAUUGGGGUAUUAAAUCCGUAAUUGUUUAAUUACCUCAAAAUAGUGACAACUGGCACGAUUAGAUUCGUGUCAGGGGAUACGCGGGCUAAUCUAAAAGAACCCUGGUAGUGUGUUAUUUGGUUAGAGUAGGGCUCCUCUAAUACGUAAGGCAAUUGGGGAAUUAAAUUCUACGGGCGUACCUAGGAUUAUUUCUCAAUUAGAGCAGUGAUUAACGGGCGUACCUUGAUCACCGACACAGUAAGGAGGGGCUGGCUGCCAUCGUUUGUUUGACAGUUAUAACCUAUUUAUUGGUAAAUAAUUGGGAUUGCUUUGCAUCAAUGAUCAAUUAGGUAAACCAUUGCUGAAGUUAUUACUUGGCUAGAUCUUUAGUUAAUAUUUCCUUGAUUGUAGUGGAUUGCCAUUUGACUUUUAAUUGCCUACUUUAUUUUAUUUUUGAUUGUUUCCUUGUUUUAAUUAAUUUAGGCCUUCAAUUAUUGUUAUCCUGAGUUCAGUAAAUUGUGGUUUAAUUUCUAGUUAGUUGUUUAUUUUUACUUUCUCAUUUGAAUUUAUUUAAUUAUUAUCGUUCCUACAGAAUCACCCCCCUGCGUUACUUUGGAUUUCUUAAGAAACAAAUAUACCCAGUCUCUGUGGAUACGACCCUACUUGCCCUGUCUACAAAUUCAUAAUCAUUUGUGAAUAGGAAUAACCAUUCCAUUCGGGUAUAUCGGAUCAAGCAAACUCUUCGGGAACAGGGUGAAUCAAGUAACCCAUUGCACACCUAGAGUCCCUGCUCCAGUACUUGGAAUUGGGUUUUGGUCAUUUUAACUGGCAAUUAGGUUUAAUUUUAUUAUUGCACAGGCUGACGACCUGUCAGCAUACAAGGUACAAGUACCUUUUGAUGGCAAGCCACAGACUUGUGUUUUCCUUGACACCCCUGGACAUGAGGUAAUUAAUGAUGUAGCACUGGUUCUAACUUUUAACUGCUUCUUCAUGCAAGUUUUUUUUUUUUUGCUUUUUUAAAAUUUUUAUGUCAAAUGCUCUUCUUGGAGAUUUUGCAGACAUAUCUUAAAAGGCCUUUGUCAAGAUGAAUUAUCUAACAUAACUGUACAAAAUGGUUGGAUAGGCAUUUGGAGCAAUGAGAGCUCGUGGAGCCAGAGUAACAGACAUUGCUGUUAUUGUAGUUGCUACUGAUGAUGGAAUUCGACCUCAAACAGAAGAGGCCAUUGCUCAUGCCACAGCAGCUGGAAUGCCAAUUGUUAUUGCUAUAAACAAAGUGCGCUUGCAUUUAUUCUGAGAUUUUCCACUGUGUGUUGGCUUGUAUAUCAUUUAGUCUCAUUUGCAUUCUGCUUUUGAUGUAUGAAACAUGAUGACAAAUCUCCUCUUGCUCAUGGGAGUUGGCAUUUUCAGUUCUCAUAAUCACAGUACUGCUCAAGUUUGAUGUUUCUAGAUUUUUACAUCAUAGCAUAUUAUCUUAUAUGCAUUCUGUUUUUUGGGAUAAUUUUAAAAGUCCUUUGAGUUUCUGAUUAAUGGAAUGUAGAGCAGGGAGCACUACCUGUAGGUUGCUUCUAUUUAAAGAAAAAAAAAACUCCUGGCAAUUAAAAGUGUCAGCAUAGAAUUCGAUAUUCUAAUGUUGUACUAUACCUAUCCUAACACUUUCAAUUAUCAAGAAAAGAGAUUUUUGUUGGUAGAUGGGAUGUUAUAACAUCAUAGUUUUCCUGACAUGUUGAAUAGUAUGAGUCUAUCCUCACAUUGGAAGGGACAACACUCGCCCUAGGUGUGAGGAUAGAUAAAGUGUCAGGUUAGAUUUUCUAUACUGACACUUUUAAAUGCCGUUAAAGGCCAUUUUUGUUGUAGUGGUUCUUCUUCGCUGAGGACACGACCUUUAUCAUCAGCGAAGUAGCGAAAGGCAGAGAUUGAAGACGCUCGAGGAGUCCCCUCCAUUAAACGACCCAGCCCACUACGUAAAACGACAGAUCGCAUCGCCAUGGAUAAUGGAUAUCUUCUAGCUUUCUCCUGCUUUUACUAAUGUACCACACUACUUGAAUGGAGAGUUGACUGACUCCAAGAAAGGUGCAUACUUAUUCUUGU